This is a long non-coding RNA of Ictalurus punctatus (channel catfish), 3633 nucleotides long. The record is from Ensembl. Lineage: Eukaryota; Metazoa; Chordata; Actinopteri; Siluriformes; Ictaluridae.
CCAUCCUACAGGACGGAGAAGAAUAACAACAGCACGAUUCUGUCACAAUCCGGAAUGAGCCUGAUAUUACUCGUCACCAUCUCGACACAAGGAUGGCGUUUAUUUCCUGUUGCUCUCCAACGUCUCACCGGCUGUUAAUCCUCCAGGGGACGCGAGUUUCUACUAAACAACAAACAGCGACUAACCCGGGCAUUUCUCCCCUGAGGAUAAGAGUAGACAACCUGCUCUUGUACUCUGUAUGCUGUGAUGAAAGACUAAAAAUGUCCCUCGUGCUAGUGGACAAGAGAGGGAAAGGAAAGAAACUGGAAAUACAUGAUGAAUGAAUGUGUAUGUUACCGUACAGGAUCUGGCAGCACAUCCCUGAAGGAAGCGCUGAGAAGAGACUGUAUCUGAGGUGGUGAAAAUCUUUGACAAUUCUCCUGGCUCUGGUCCUGCAUCACUGGAUGUAGAUGUUUGUGAUGCAGUAGAGAGAAGUCCUUCUCCACUGCCUCACCACUCUGGAAAGGGCCUUUUAUUCCUGGGCUGUAGUGCCUCUGAACCAGGCUUCCUGUGUACUCUCCACAGCCCAGUGUAGAAGGCCCUCAACACCCUGUUGGAGUCUGAAUCAUGGCCACAUAAGGUGCACAAUUUAUACACCCAGUGAUGAUAUAAGGUGUUUUAAAGGUAAUUAUUGUUAGUGUUCACGCCUUUGUUGUAUAAUGCCUCACAAGACCUAGACUGGCUAGUUCUUCAACCCUCGCGAACGUCACCAAGAACAGGACGUCCCUCCAUAACUUAUAAAAGGACAAGACAAAAACUUACCAGGGAGGCUGCCAAGAGACCAAUGGCAACAUUAAAAGUAGCUGCAGGAAGUACUGAUUCCUCUCUGUAUCUGACAACAAUCUCUAAUAUUUUUCACAGGCCUGGGCUGUGGAGUAGGGUGGCAAGAUGGAAACACUCACAAAAAACAUCCAAGCCCAAAUAAGUCACCCGAAACCAUGUAGCAAAAAUGUAAUGUUCUGAUGUGACCAAUUCAGAAAGGGAUAAUUAUUAAAUAUAAUACAUAAUCAUGAAUAGCUACCAUACCAGUCAAGUUUAGUGAAAACCUUCAGGUGUCUGCUAGUAAACUGAAGAUGAAAAGGAAUUUCACCUUUCAGCAUGACAGUGACCCAAAACAUACACCCAAAUCAACAAAGGAAUGACUUCACCAAAAGAACACCAAUGUUUUUGAAUGACCUAGCCAGAGCCCAGACCUGAGUCUUUGGGGUGAUUCUGUGCUGAAUCUGUAUAUAGGAGAUGCCCUUGAAAUUUAAAGGAUCUAGAAUGUUUUGCAAGGAAGAACGGGAAAAUAUUGCCAUGUCAAGAUGUGCCACGCUGAUGGACUCUUACCCAAAAAGAAUGAGUGGUGUAAAAACAUCAAAAGGUGCUUCAACAAAGUAUUAGUUUAGGGGUGUGUACACUUAUGCAACUAUUGGUUUUUUAUCAUUCCUUUUACUCCAAAAAGUUUCAUUUAGUUACUAUUAUUACUACUACUAAUGAUGAUGAUGAUGAUGAUGAUGAUUAAUAUUAAUAUUAUUAUAUUUAUACAGGUGUGGGGAUAUGAUUUCCGACAGAGACUUUACCACUUCAGGCUGGAUAAGGGCGUCUUUCUCCAGAUCCAUAAAAAAUUUAAUCACCAGAAGAAAACAAUACUUUAAAUUAUGAGAUUCCUUACAAUGAACUCUGUACUUCUCUCAGUAAUGACUAAUUUGACACGCAUGACCCCCCCCCCCCCCCCCCCCAAACACACAACACGAGAAUCAAAUGAAUUUCCUCUCCCAAAGCUCUGUGAGUUAUAGACAGAAAGACCGAAGCCCUUGAAAGGAGGACUUUUCAAUUUGUAAGUCUCUCAGCCACAAGGUCGCCUCGGUUUAUGGGUAAAGUUAUAGAAGAAUGCAAGGAGAAAACCAAACUAGUUACUAUAGUAACAGCAGGACUCAUAACACAACAGGGAACUAGAGGAAUUCAGGAAAAUUUCAGGAAAAAUCUUGGUUUUGUUUUAACUUCAUUUCUAUGUGUAUGAAACCAACUGCUUUACAUGUUUUAAGAUCUUCAAGGUUGCUGCUGUUCAUGUUCACCAGUUUUUUAUUCUCAUGACCUCAUGACAACCUGGCUGACAUGUCUGAGUGUGUCGGAGCAAGGGAAGGGCUAUAGACCUACAGUGAAAACAUGUCUGAGUCUGACCACUGCUAUAUGCAUUGUACCUGGUCUCUGAUAGCCCAUAUUAUGCAACACGUUAUAUGUACAAUGAAUCUGUUAUGAGGUAGAAUAAGUACUGGGCCUCGUGUACACUUUCCUGUUAUUCCAGAGUAGUAAUUACAUACAGUAAGUUCCUAAUGUAGGUAGAAGUGUUAUAAACCACUACACAUUUUCACUAGGCAAACAAAUCACUAAUACAUAAAUAUAAAGGAGCAGGAGGCAGAGCCACAGUAUAUAAAGCUUAUACAAUCCCCUCCAAAAAUAUUCAAACAGAAAGGCCAAUUCUUUCAUUUUUUGCAAUACACUGAAGAGAACUCAAAAAUAAAUAUGAUACAAUCAGAUUUUCAGUUUUACAUCUAGAUGUAUUAAACAAUUGGCACCCUGUCCAGGGUGUACCCCGCCUUGUGCCCGAUGCUCCCUGGGAUAGCCUCCAGGUUCCCCCGUGACCCUGAAAAGGAUAAAGCCGUAUAGAAGAUGGAUGGAUGUAUUAAACAACUUUGAACAUAGCCCCUUUGGUGUCAGAAACCCCAAAUUUUUAGUGAGCAAAAAUAUUGGAACUUAAAGUCUUAAAGUAUAUUAAAAUAAAGUAAAUAACACUUAAUAUUUGGUUGCAUAUUUCUUGCUUGCAGUAACUGUACCAAGCUCAAGCCGGUGACCCAUUAUCACCAAACUGUUUUUGUUUACUGAUGCUCUGAAAUGCAUGCGCGAUUGCUUUAAGAUCGGGUGAUUUUCCCCUGAUGAAGUCCUUUGUUGAGUUUGCAGUGUGUUUUGAGUCAUUGUAUUGCUGCAUGAUGAAUUUCUUCCUUCUUAGAUUGGAUGCACUUCUCUGUAAAUUGGCAUACAGGAUGUUUCUGUAGACUUCUGAAUUAAUUCUGCUGUUAGCAUCAUGAGUUCCAUCAUCAAUAAAGAUUAGUGAGCCCAUUCCAGAAGCAGGCAUGCACGCCCAAGCCAUGACACUACCUCCACCAUGCCUGAGCAAGAUAAGCAGAUCCUGUCUUUCUCCACACUUUGGCAUUUCCAUCGCUUUAGUAGAGGUUAUUCUUGGUUCCAGAACUUUUGUGGCUCAUCUCUGUAUUUCUUUGUGAAUUUCAAUCUGGCCUUUUGAUUCUUACUGCUGAUGUUUGAAUUGUGUGGUAUGACCUCUAUGUUUCUUCACUUGAAUUCUUCUUUGAACGGUGGAUUGUGAUACCUGCCCUGUGGAGGUUGUUCGUGUUGGUAGGCAGAGGUGACAAAAUGGUUCCAGCUCCAGGUUACUGAUCAGAAAGUUGGUGGUUCAAGCACUGUCACUGCCAAGCUGCCCAUUUAGGCCCUUAAUCCUAUCUGCUCCAGGGGUGCUCUAUCAUAGCUGACCAUGCCACCUCACCCUAACUUACUAACAAGCUGAGAUAUGCACUGUGUUUUAAUGUAUACAGCAUG